RNAcentral lists this ribosomal RNA (478 nucleotides) under uncultured bacterium. RNAcentral describes it as "bacterial SSU rRNA". It matches the Rfam family "Bacterial small subunit ribosomal RNA", at positions 33 to 518 of the family's 1533-position model. The record is from RNAcentral.
ACGCUGGCGGCGCGCCUAACGCAUGCAAGUCGAACGGAGAUGGGAAAGCUUGCUUUUCCAUUUUAGUGGCGGACGGGUGAGUAACACGUGAGCAACCUGCCUUUCAGAGGGGGAUAACGUUUGGAAACGAACGCUAAUACCGCAUAACAUAUUCUUGUGGCAUCACAGGGAUAUCAAAGGGGCAAUCCGCUGAGAGAUGGGCUCGCGGCCGAUUAGAUAGUUGGCGGGUAAGGGCCCACCAAGUCGACGAUCGGUAGCCGGACUGAGAGGUUGAACGGCCACAUUGGGACUGAGACACGGCCCAGACUCCUACGGGAGGCAGCAGUGGGGAAUAUUAGGCAAUGGGGGAAAAACCCCCUGACCUAGCGACGCCGCGUGAGGGAAGACGGUCUUCGGAUUGUAAACCUCUGUCUUCAGGGACGAAAAAGAUGACGGUACCUGAAGAGGAAGCCACGGCUAACUACGUGCCAGCAGCCGC